This 654-nucleotide long non-coding RNA is filed under the name Manihot esculenta (cassava). RNAcentral describes it as "long non-coding RNA (MESC_LNC012614)". Lineage: Eukaryota; Viridiplantae; Streptophyta; Magnoliopsida; Malpighiales; Euphorbiaceae. The record is from RNAcentral.
UCAGCAUGCUAAAAGAAAGCACCAUUCUCUGCAGGACCUACCCUGGCUGCAUGAACUAGAGUAUUAGAUGUCGAACUCUUAUGAAAGCUAUGCAGAUCUAGCUACAACCUCAAGAAAGCUAGAUAAUGCCCUUUUUAGCUUUAAUGCACCCCAAAAUAGCUCCUAGUUUCACAAGUUCAAUUCUGGUGCAUCAAAUGACAGAAUUGAUGAAGCUUGCACAACGUUAAAAGUACUGAUAUCACAAUAAAUAUAGACCACAGUGUCACAAAGCAAACCAAGUCAUGUCUGGCCAUAUAUGCUAAGUUACAAUGCAAACUAUCAAGAGGAUCUGGACCAUUUCAUGGCAUUUUCAUCGAGAAUAUUUUCCCUAAAAAUAAUAAUUUGCAAAAUUUUAAAUUAGCAAUACUCAAAUUUGCAUAAGGUUGCUCUAUAUGCAUAUUCUUAAAUUUGGGCCGGACCUAAUUCACCCCAAAAACUAGCUCAAGGGGAGGAUUGCCUAUGACCCAUAUAAGGGACACAUUACCCCCUUUCCACAACUGAUGUGGGAUUCAACACACCCCCUCACGCCCAGAAUUUUACUGGUGCGUGACAUAUUCAUGGGAGGCCCAACAUCGGAUGAGGAGGCUCUGAUACCAUAUUAAAUUUGGGCCAGAC